UACGGAGGGUGCAAGCGUUGUUCGGAAUUACUGGGCGUAAAGCGCACGUAGGCGGGUCAUCAAGUCGAUUGUGAAAGCCCAGGGCUCAACCUUGGAAUUGCAGUCGAAACUGAUGAUCUUGAAUAUCUGAGAGGAUGGCGGAAUUCCCGGUGUAGCAGUGAAAUGCGUAGAUAUCGGGAAGAACACCCGAGGCGAAGGCGGCCAUCUGGCAGAAUAUUGACGCUCAGGUGCGAAAGCGUGGGGAGCAAACAGG
RNAcentral lists this unclassified non-coding RNA (253 nucleotides) under uncultured Oligoflexaceae bacterium. RNAcentral describes it as "contains 16S-23S intergenic spacer region". It matches the Rfam family "Bacterial small subunit ribosomal RNA", at positions 524 to 776 of the family's 1533-position model. Lineage: Bacteria; Pseudomonadati; Bdellovibrionota; Oligoflexia; Oligoflexales; Oligoflexaceae. The record is from RNAcentral.